AACGAACGCUGGCGGCAGGCCUAACACAUGCAAGUCGAGCGGACCCUUCGGGGUUAGCGGCGGACGGGUGAGUAACGCGUGGGAAUAUGCCCUUCUCUACGGAAUAGUCCUGGGAAACUGGGGGUAAUACCGUAUACGCCCUUUGGGGGAAAGAUUUAUCGGGGAAGGAUUAGCCCGCGUUGGAUUAGGUAGUUGGUGGGGUAAUGGCCUACCAAGCCGACGAUCCAUAGCUGGUUUGAGAGGAUGAUCAGCCACACUGGGACUGAGACACGGCCCAGACUCCUACGGGAAGCAGCAGUGGGGAAUCUUAGACAAUGGGGGCAACCCUGAUCUAGCCAUGCCGCGUGAGUGAUGAAGGCCUUAGGGCUGUAAAGCUCUUUCAGCUGGGAAGAUAAUGACGGUACCAGCAGAAGAAGCCCCGGCUAACUCCGUG
Molecule: ribosomal RNA, 433 nt
Filed under: uncultured bacterium
Lineage: Bacteria
Description: partial 16S ribosomal RNA
Rfam family: Bacterial small subunit ribosomal RNA
Source: RNAcentral